RNAcentral lists this ribosomal RNA (465 nucleotides) under uncultured bacterium. RNAcentral's name for it is "partial 16S ribosomal RNA". It matches the Rfam family "Bacterial small subunit ribosomal RNA", at positions 338 to 795 of the family's 1533-position model. The record is from RNAcentral.
CCUACGGGUGGCAGCAGUAGGGAAUCUUCCACAAUGGGCGCAAGCCUGAUGCAGCAACACCGCGUGAGUGAAGAAGGGUUUCGGCUCGUAAAGCUCUUUUUUUGGAGAAGAACGUGCGUGAGAGUAACUGUUCACGCAGUUACGUUAUCAAACCAGAAAGUCACAGCUAACGACGUGCCAGCAGCCGCGGUAAUACGUCGGUGGCAAGCGUUAUCCGGAUUUAUUGGGCGUAAAGGGAGCGUAGGCGGUUGCUUAGGUCUGAUGUGAAAGCCUUCGGCUUAACCGUAGAAGUGCAUCGGAAACUGGGAGACUUGAGUGCAGAAGAGGAAAGUGGAACUCGAUGUGUAGCGGUGGAAUGCUUAGAUAUAAGGAAGAACACCAGUGGCGAAGGCGGCUGUCUGGUCUGCAACUGACGCUGAGGCUCGAAAGUAUGGGUAGCGAACAGGAUUAGAUACCCGGGUAGUC